Long non-coding RNA from Lutra lutra (Eurasian river otter), 336 nucleotides. RefSeq lists it as uncharacterized. The record is from RefSeq and is a predicted model, not a curated record. The transcript is spliced from 3 exons. Lineage: Eukaryota; Metazoa; Chordata; Mammalia; Carnivora; Mustelidae.
CACAACCAGAAGUCUGCUGUCUACAAACCUAAGCACAUUCUCACCAGACACCAGAUCUGCCAGCACCUUGAUCUUGGACUGCCCAGACUCCAGAACUUAGGCGCAAAUGUGUGGCAGUGAGAAUAACAUGCAAAUCAAAAUCUAGGAGAUUGCUUCACCUAAAGUCUGAUAACGCAGGGGAGGUGAAAGCUCUGAAAGACAUUAUUUCUACCAUCACACUGCAGUCUCCUGGACAGACUGUUAAAAGGUGCAGAGGAGCAAGGAAACACGGCGUGGAGGCGUCUGUGGAUAGAAUAAAGCACACACUUUAUUCACUGAGUGGUGAGUGUACAGCAG